UAAAAAGCUCGUAGUUGGACUUGUGUCCCACGCUGUCGGUUCACCGCUCGUCGGUGUCUAACUGGCAUGGUUCGUGGGACGUCCUGCCGGUGGUGGCGAGUCGAAAGCGCGCUCCUGUCGCAGUUCGCUGUGUACAGUUCUUGUGCGCCUAGACGGACCCCGAUCAAAUCCUACCGCGGUGCUCUUCGCCGAGUGUCGAGGUGGGCCGGCACGUUUACUUUGAACAAAUUAAAGUGCUUAAAGCAGGCCUUUUGCGCCUGAAUACUGUGUGCAUGGAAUAAUGGAAUAGGACCUCGGUUCUAUUUUGUUGGUUUUCGGAACCCGAGGUAAUGAUUAAUAGGGACAGGCGGGGGCAUUCGUAUUGCGACGUUAGAGGUGAAAUUCUUGGAUCGUCGCAAGACGGACCGAAGCGAAAGCAUUUGCCAAGUAUGUUUUCAUUAAUCAAGAACGAAAGUUAGAGGUUCGAAGGCGAUCAGAUACCGCCCUAGUUCUAACCAUAAACGAUGCCAGCUAGCGAUCCGCCGAAGUUCCUCCGAUGACUCGGCGGGCAGCUCCCGGGAAACCAAAGCUUUUGGGUUCCGGGG
Molecule: ribosomal RNA, 584 nt
Filed under: Euconocephalus thunbergi
Lineage: Eukaryota; Metazoa; Arthropoda; Insecta; Orthoptera; Tettigoniidae
Description: SSU rRNA
Rfam family: Eukaryotic small subunit ribosomal RNA
Source: RNAcentral